This is a non-coding RNA of Drosophila bipectinata, 241 nucleotides long. The record is from RefSeq and is a predicted model, not a curated record. Lineage: Eukaryota; Metazoa; Arthropoda; Insecta; Diptera; Drosophilidae.
AAUUUCAAUGAUACUUUCAGGAGAAAGAUGUUGUUUUAUUCCUUUUCGACGAUUUUGAAGUUCUUUUAAUUCACAUAAAAUCACAAAAUCUUAAUUUAACUGAUGAAGAUAGUACUGAAAAUUUGCCAAUUUCUUUCGAUUGAAUGAAACUUUAUGUAUUGUUUUUGCAUGAAUACCCACACAAACGCGUUUUAAAACAUAGUGUGACCGAGUGAGAGCUACUUAAAUAUCUUACCUCCGU